GACGAACGCUGGCGGCGUGCCUAAUACAUGCAAGUCGAGCGAAGUUUUUCUGGUGCUUGCACCGGAAAAACUUAGCGGCGAACGGGUGAGUAACACGUAAAGAACCUGCCUCAUAGACUGGGACAACUAUUGGAAACGAUAGCUAAUACCGGAUAAUAGCAUUAACUGCAUGGUUGAUGUUUAAAAGUUGGUUUUGCUAACACUAUGAGAUGGCUUUGCGGUGCAUUAGCUAGUUGGUGGGGUAAAGGCCUACCAAGGCGACGAUGCAUAGCCGACCUGAGAGGGUGGUCGGCCACACUGGGACUGAGACACGGCCCAGACGCCUACGGGAGGCAGCAGUAGGGAAUCGUCCGCAAUGGGCGAAAGCCUGACGGAGCAACGCCGCGUGAGUGAAGAAGGAUUUCGGUUCGUAAAGCUCUGUUGUUAGGGAAGAAUGAUUGUGUAGUAACUAUACACAGUAGAGACGGUACCUAACCAGAAAGCCACGGCUAACUACGUG
RNAcentral lists this ribosomal RNA (499 nucleotides) under uncultured bacterium. RNAcentral describes it as "partial 16S ribosomal RNA". It matches the Rfam family "Bacterial small subunit ribosomal RNA", at positions 28 to 507 of the family's 1533-position model. The record is from RNAcentral.